AUGUUGGAGCCGGCGAGGUACACGACGGCUCCACCCGCGCCUCCCACAGCAGCAACUCCUAGCCGAGGUAUGCCCUCCUCUCCUCUCCUCUCCUUCCUCCCUCUUCACAGAUCUCUAUCUUGCCCAAGGCAAUCGAUCAAGUUUAUUCAUGUUCUGUACGUAGAUGCUGCACUAUUUAGAUCUCUGGUUGGAUGGUCACAUUGGAGACCAAGACUGGAAUGUCACAAGGAUUCCACUGAAGAAAACUACUGCACUUUUAUGCAGGGAUUGACGUCCCAACAGACACUGAUUAGGCUAAUUGCUACCCGUUUUUGCAUAUAUAAACAACAAGUUCGAUGCUUCCUUCCAGCAUGUAACCAACCUGACACCACAAAGUGUUCGAAAAGUGACAGAAUGGAUAUCCGGAGACCGGAUCAUUUUGAAUUAACACGCACAAUGCUGACAGUCAACGUCUCAAUCUGUUACAGCUGUUGUUCUUGGCCUGAGCAGCAACUCUGUAUUGGCUCAGGAUGA
Molecule: ribosomal RNA, 513 nt
Filed under: Triticum aestivum (bread wheat)
Lineage: Eukaryota; Viridiplantae; Streptophyta; Magnoliopsida; Poales; Poaceae
Description: partial small subunit ribosomal RNA
Source: RNAcentral